RNAcentral lists this ribosomal RNA (460 nucleotides) under uncultured bacterium. RNAcentral's name for it is "partial 16S ribosomal RNA". It matches the Rfam family "Bacterial small subunit ribosomal RNA", at positions 338 to 795 of the family's 1533-position model. The record is from RNAcentral.
CCUACGGGUGGCAGCAGUGAGGAAUAUUGGUCAAUGGACGCGAGCCUGAACCAGCCAAGUAGCGUGAAGGAUGACUGCCCUAUGGGUUGUAAACUUCUUUUAUAUGGGAAUAAAAUGAUCCACGUGUGGCAUUUUGUAUGUACCAUAUGAAUAAGGAUCGGCUAACUCCGUGCCAGCAGCCGCGGUAAUACGGAGGAUCCGAGCGUUAUCCGGAUUUAUUGGGUUUAAAGGGAGCGUAGAUGGAUUGUUAAGUCAGUUGUGAAAGUUUGCGGCUCAACCGUAAAAUUGCAGUUGAUACUGGCAGUCUUGAGUGCAGUAGAGGUGGGCGGAAUUCGUGGUGUAGCGGUGAAAUGCGUAGAUAUCAGGAAGAACUCCGAUGGCGAAGGCAGCCUACUGGACUGCAACUGACGUUGAGGCUCGAAAGCGUGGGGAUCAAACAGGAUUAGAUACCCCAGUAGUC